RNAcentral lists this ribosomal RNA (253 nucleotides) under uncultured bacterium. RNAcentral's name for it is "partial 16S ribosomal RNA". It matches the Rfam family "Bacterial small subunit ribosomal RNA", at positions 524 to 776 of the family's 1533-position model. The record is from RNAcentral.
UACGAAGGGGGCUAGCGUUGCUCGGAAUCACUGGGCGUAAAGCGCACGUAGGCGGAUCUUUAAGUCAGGGGUGAAAUCCUGGAGCUCAACUCCAGAACUGCCUUUGAUACUGGAGAGCUUGAGUCCGGGAGAGGUGAGUGGAACUCCGAGUGUAGAGGUGAAAUUCGUAGAUAUUCGGAAGAACACCAGUGGCGAAGGCGGCUCACUGGCCCGGUACUGACGCUGAGGUGCGAAAGCGUGGGGAGCAAACAGG